UACGGAGGAUCCGAGCGUUAUCCGGAUUUAUUGGGUUUAAAGGGUGCGUAGGCGGUCGGAUAAGUUAGAGGUGAAAUCCCGAGGCUCAACUUCGGAAUUGCCUCUGAUACUGUCUGACUAGAGUGUAGUUGCGGAAGGCGGAAUGUGUGGUGUAGCGGUGAAAUGCUUAGAUAUCACACAGAACCCCGAUUGCGAAGGCAGCAUACCGGUGCACAACUGACGCUCAGGCACGAAAGCGUGGGUAUCGAACAGG
RNAcentral lists this ribosomal RNA (253 nucleotides) under uncultured Rikenellaceae bacterium. RNAcentral describes it as "partial 16S ribosomal RNA". It matches the Rfam family "Bacterial small subunit ribosomal RNA", at positions 524 to 776 of the family's 1533-position model. The record is from RNAcentral. Lineage: Bacteria; Pseudomonadati; Bacteroidota; Bacteroidia; Bacteroidales; Rikenellaceae.